UGGGUAAUAGUGUAGUUGGUUAUCGCGCCCGCUUCGCAUAUUACGUGCCUAUCACGUGAUGUCUUUGCGGGAGGUGCUGGGUUCAAUUCCCAGUUUAUCCAU
This is a non-coding RNA of Favolaschia claudopus, 102 nucleotides long. The record is from the annotation of a GenBank genome assembly. Lineage: Eukaryota; Fungi; Basidiomycota; Agaricomycetes; Agaricales; Mycenaceae.